GACGAACGCUGGCGGCGUGCCUAAUACAUGCGAGUCGAGCGGACGGAUGGGAGCUUGCUACCAGACCGUCAGCGGCGGACGGGUGAGUAACACGUGGGCAACCUGCCUGUAAGACUGGGAUAACUCCGGGAAACCGGGGCUAAUACCGGAUAACUCUUUCCCUCACAUGAGGGAAAGCGGAAGGUUGCAUUCUCGCAUUCAUUUACGAAUGGCCCCGCGGCGCAUUAGCUAGUUGGUGAGGUAACGGCUCACCAAGGCGACGAUGCGUAGCCGACCUGAGAGGGUGAUCGGCCACACUGGGACUGAGACACGGCCCAGACUCCUACGGGAGGCAGCAGUAGGGAAUCUUCCGCAAUGGACGAAAGUCUGACGGAGCAACGCCGCGUGAGUGAUGAAGGUUUUCGGAUCGUAAAACUCUGUUGUCAGGGAAGAACAAGUACCGGAGUAACUGCCGGUACCUUGACGGUACCUGACCAGAAAGCCACGGCUAACUACGUG
Molecule: ribosomal RNA, 498 nt
Filed under: uncultured bacterium
Lineage: Bacteria
Description: partial 16S ribosomal RNA
Rfam family: Bacterial small subunit ribosomal RNA
Source: RNAcentral